UAAAAAAACCAAAGUUGUAGUAACAUAAGAGUUAUUAUUUCUCUAGGGGUAAGACACUUGAUAUUUACAAAUACAUCUUGCCACUUCAUAAUCUCACUAUGCAAGGUGUGCAGCAACAGGGGAAAAUGGCAUUGGGCCAAUAAAUUUGGUAGUUUUGGUGGUUGAAGAAGCUUUAGCUCUAGACUCUAGAGUAAUUUCUACUCACUAUGUUAUGUAUCAUGGUGAGAUUUAAAAUUGACAACGUUUUUUAUUGUGGUCACAUCUGCAUUUAAUUUAUGAUAAACUAGUCCUAGUCUUGAAAUACCAGUAAGGUGGUGUGGCAUGGAGCUUUGUACUUUCUAGUUUCCUAUUUAAUAAAUUUGCAAUAUUAGUAAAUUUCCAAAUUUGUGGCACAAGUUGUUUUCCCUCCCUUUCAAUGAAUUGCAAUUAACAAGCUUGUAAUGAAUUCAAUUAUCCAACCCCUUCAUCUAUGCUGUGAGCCUACAAGGCUACAACAGCAUUAAGUAUUAUAUUCAGCUAUUUUUUCCUGUUUUUUAUAUGAAGGUGCUAGACAUGUACCCUUAAUACCAAUGAGUGGUUAGUACAUACUUGAUUCCCUUUAAGUGAGGUCUUGAGUUUGAAUCUUGUUAAUAGAAUAAAAUCAUGUUGGGAGAGUUAGCCCACCAGUGAACGUUCCCGACUAAAACAGAAUAGCAUCCCGGGAUAUCUGUGAUCAUAACAAAAGUAAUAACCUUAAUACAUGGUAGGAUCCUUCAACCCUUCAAUUUCUCUUGAAGUCUUCUCAAGGCAUCUUUGACCGUUUACAAUUACAAAAUACAAGUCUGAUGAGUGAAUUCCAUAUUAGAUCUAAAUUUAAGCAUCAAAUAAGAUGAAUCUCUUGAAAACUGAUUGCCUUUUUUCAUAAUUUAUUUUCAUGUUGUCCUUCCUUGUCCACAUGCUGCAUAUAUAAAAAAAAUUAUAUGUAAGUUGUGGUUCAGGUGGUAUCAGCAAUCAGCAUAGAUUAGAUUUCUUUGGAAUGAUGGGGGGGUAAUGUAUAAACUAGAUUACUUCCCUAAUUUUGGAGUACCUUAUAGGGUAUAUGUGUAAUUCAAUUUCUAUGCUCUGUGUGAUGAAUAUUAAGUGGUGUGGUCCUGUUAGUUGUGAGUUGUGACAAGCUGUUUGGGUUAAAAAAAUCAAAGGCCCACCCAACUAAGCCUUUCAUUCCUUGCUCCCAAACCAUUCCCACCUUUAAAAACACACUCAAUUGCUUGUUUUGUUAUAUAUGAGUAGCCUUGAAGCACCUAAGAAGAGUCCCAAAAUUCACCACUACCUGAACCUUUUUUUUUAUUUCCUCUUCAUUCUCUAGCUUCUAUUCUUGCUGUGAGAUUCUCAGAAGUGAUACUAUAGCUUGGCUUGAGAAAGGUGCAUGCUGAACAAGAUGGAGAAGCAGGGCACGUGCAAUGCUAACUCAUGAACACAAAGGAAGUGAACCCAGCAAAUCACAUUCCUUUCUGAUUGCGUGUUCGCAUACACGUUAGAAAACCACUGUGAAACCAAAAUCGUGGUUGACAUAAACAACUUCCCUUAACUUUUUUCUUUUAUUAAUCAUGAUUUUGGCUAAACUGUGAUUUUCUACCAUGAAUCCGAACAUGCACUGAUUCUGAUAGCUGCAGUAGCUCCAGUGAGUUAGUGCUUCAUGUGCCCCUCUUCCCCAUCAUGACAACAGCACCUUAUUGCAUUUGGAAAUGGUGAACUGAAAAAGCUUAUGUUCCACAUAGAAGUGGCUGCAGGUUUAUCCUCCUCACAAGGAAAAGCUUAUUUGUUGGGCGUACUUGGAGGAAGUCCUAACAUAGUGACAUGUUGUCAUAUAAUUUCGCACCAUAAAUUCUUAAUCAUUGAAUGAUUGUUGAUUAUUUUGCAAUCCUAUAUAAGUUAUGCUGAUAAUUUUAUUUGUAUAUAUAUAAUUAGUCCCUCAAUGUAUUACCACCAAACUCGUAAAUCAAAUAACACAUGAUUGUUCUAGCUUAA
Lotus japonicus is the source of this 2007-nucleotide long non-coding RNA. RefSeq lists it as uncharacterized. The transcript has 2 exons. The record is from RefSeq and is a predicted model, not a curated record. NCBI's taxonomy places the organism in Eukaryota, Viridiplantae, Streptophyta, Magnoliopsida, Fabales, Fabaceae.